GGCGAACGCUGGCGGCGUGCUUAACACAUGCAAGUCGAACGGAAAGGCCCUGCUUGCAGGGUACUCGAGUGGCGAACGGGUGAGUAACACGUGGGUGAUCUGCCCUGCACUUCGGGAUAAGCUUGGGAAACUGGGUCUAAUACCGGAUAGGAGCCAUCUUUAGUGUGGUGGUUGGAAAGUUUUUUCGGUGUAGGAUGAGCUCGCGGCCUAUCAGCUUGUUGGUGGGGUAAUGGCCUACCAAGGCGGCGACGGGUAGCCGGCCUGAGAGGGUGUACGGCCACAUUGGGACUGAGAUACGGCCCAGACUCCUACGGGAGGCAGCAGUGGGGAAUAUUGCACAAUGGGCGCAAGCCUGAUGCAGCGACGCCGCGUGGGGGAUGAAGGCCUUCGGGUUGUAAACUCCUUUCGCUAGGGACGAAGCUUUUUUGUGACGGUACCUAGAUAAGAAGCACCGGCUAACUACGUG
Molecule: ribosomal RNA, 466 nt
Filed under: uncultured bacterium
Lineage: Bacteria
Description: partial 16S ribosomal RNA
Rfam family: Bacterial small subunit ribosomal RNA
Source: RNAcentral